This 468-nucleotide ribosomal RNA is filed under the name uncultured bacterium. Its description in RNAcentral is "partial 16S ribosomal RNA". It matches the Rfam family "Bacterial small subunit ribosomal RNA", at positions 28 to 507 of the family's 1533-position model. The record is from RNAcentral.
GACGAACGCUGGCGGCGUGCUUAACACAUGCAAGUCGAACGGAAAGGCCCUGCUUUUGUGGGGUGCUCGAGUGGCGAACGGGUGAGUAACACGUGAGUAACCUGCCCUUGACUUUGGGAUAACUUCAGGAAACUGGGGCUAAUACCGGAUAGGAGCUCCUGCUGCAUGGUGGGGGUUGGAAAGUUUCGGCGGUUGGGGAUGGACUCGCGGCUUAUCAGCUUGUUGGUGGGGUAGUGGCUUACCAAGGCUUUGACGGGUAGCCGGCCUGAGAGGGUUACCGGCCACAUUGGGACUGAGAUACGGCCCAGACUCCUACGGGAGGCAGCAGUGGGGAAUAUUGCACAAUGGGCGGAAGCGUGAUGCAGAAACGCCGCGUGCGGGAUGACGGCCUUCUGGUUGUAAACAGAUUUCGACUGUGACGAAGAGUGAGUGACGGUAAUGGGUAAAGAAGCAACGGCUAACUACGUG